CAAGGAAACAAAGUUGAUUCAACCAGUCUUUGCCCAGUGGCUUACAUUGCGGCAAUAGUGAUUCAUAAGGUUUAGUUGAAAAGUUCCAAUGUCUUACAAGCCAAACAAUCAGAGGCCCUCUGAAUUACAGACCUGAAUCUUUGAGUUUAUGAUCCAAGUUCUAAGGAAUUUUAUGAUUGUUUUGUUUUGAGGAUGUGAGGAAGUUUCAGCAGGCCUACGACAUCCUGGUGAACUUCAUUAAUGAGCCAACAAACAGGGAGCGACUAGAGCUGGAGAUGGCUCUUGUAGGAAUCAACCACAUCAAUUUCACGGAUGUAUUUUAUGAAUUUGUUCUACUGAGCCUUCUUGAAGGAAAAACAUCUCUUCCAACAUCUAGGCCUGGUAGCUUCUUUUAUCUGCUCAUAGAAGUGAUGAUGAGGAUUCGCCCUCCUGGAGGAGCCUGGACAGAGUCUGCUGGGAGCUUCUACUUCCUCAUUAAGGAUCAGAUGAAGGCGUGGUUGGACUCCAUCUUCAACCUCGAUGAGUCCAUCUAUGAAAGCCCACAGAGGCUCUCGUGGCAGGUGAUGGAGAUUCUAGAAAUGCAGGUUGACUUCCUCCUGUCCAGCCUGGAUUAAGGGUCCCAAACUGAGCUGAGGAUCCUAAACACAAAAUAAAGUAUUUUGCA
This is a long non-coding RNA of Oncorhynchus tshawytscha (Chinook salmon), 664 nucleotides long. The record is from Ensembl. NCBI's taxonomy places the organism in Eukaryota, Metazoa, Chordata, Actinopteri, Salmoniformes, Salmonidae.